AGAAAAAUUAAUUGCUUACCAACGAGAAUUCCUCGCUUUAAAAGAACGUCUUCGAGUGGCCGAACAUAGGAUAUCUCAGCGCUCCUCUGAGCUAAACACCAUUGUCCAACAGUUCCGCCGAGCUGGAGCGGAGACUAAUGGAAGUAAGGCUGGUCUGAGUACGUUCUCAGAUAAUACCAUAAAGCUUCUAAAAGAGUUGACAAGCAAAAAAUCACUUCAAGUGCCAAGUAUUUAUUAUCAUUUGCCUCAUCUAUUGCAAAAUGAAAGAAGCCUUCAGCCCGCCGUACAGAUUGGCAGUGGAAGAACGGGAGUUUCAAUAGUCAUGGGGAUUCCUACUGUGAAGAGAGAAGUUAAAUCUUACCUCAUAGAGACCCUUCACUCCCUUAUUGAUAAUCUGUAUCCUGAAGAGAAGCUGGACUGUGUUAUAGUUGUCUUCAUAGGAGAGGUAAUCGCUUGUUAUUUCUUUCACCUUGUGUGACCCGAGGGUUAAGAGACUCACCAAAUAUCCGCAUGUGUUUCUAUAAGCAUUUAAGCCAGUGGUUCUCAACCUGUGGGUUGUGGCCCUAUGGGGGUGGAAGAUCUGAUACAUCCUGCGUAUCAGAUAUUGACGUCACGAUUCAUAACAGUAGCAAACUUAGAGUUACGGAAUAGCAAUGUGGGGGUCACCACCACAUGAAGAAGUGUAGUGAAGGGUCACACAUUAGG
RNAcentral lists this long non-coding RNA (705 nucleotides) under Rattus norvegicus (Norway rat). RNAcentral's name for it is "long non-coding RNA NONRATT029936". The record is from RNAcentral. Lineage: Eukaryota; Metazoa; Chordata; Mammalia; Rodentia; Muridae.